AGGACAGGACAGGUAGUUUCCACCUGGAUAGGAUAGGACAGGUAGUUUCCUCCUGGAUAGGACAGGUAGUUUCCACCUGGAUAGGACAGGACAGGUAGUUUCCACCUGGAUAGGACAGGUAGUUUCCACCUGGAUAGGACAGGUAGUUUCCUCCUGGAUAGGACAGGACAGGUAGUUUCCACCUGGAUAGGACAGGUAAUUUCCACCUGGAUAGGACAGGUAGUUUCCCCCUGGAUAGGACAGGUAGUUUCCACCUGGAUAGGACAGGACAGGUAGUUUCCCCCUGGAUAGGACAGGUAGUUUCCCCCUGGAUAGGACAGGUAGU
Molecule: long non-coding RNA, 325 nt
Organism: Oncorhynchus tshawytscha (Chinook salmon)
Lineage: Eukaryota; Metazoa; Chordata; Actinopteri; Salmoniformes; Salmonidae
Source: Ensembl